UACGUAGGGUGCGAGCGUUAAUCGGAAUUACUGGGCGUAAAGCGUGCGCAGGCGGUUUUGUAAGCCAGAUGUGAAAGCCCCGGGCUUAACCUGGGAAUGGCAUUUGGGACUGCAAGGCUUGAGUGCGGCAGAAGGAGACGUGGAAUUCCUGGGUGUAGCAGUGAAAUGCGUAGAUAUCAGGAGGAAUACGAUGGCGAAGGCAGGUCUCU
RNAcentral lists this ribosomal RNA (209 nucleotides) under uncultured bacterium. RNAcentral's name for it is "partial 16S ribosomal RNA". It matches the Rfam family "Bacterial small subunit ribosomal RNA", at positions 524 to 730 of the family's 1533-position model. The record is from RNAcentral.